GCUUCUCUGUUCAUUACAGUGAGGCACAUGCUCUCCAGACUGCUGCCAUGGCCAAAAAAAGCAAGAGCGCUGAGCUGUAAUCCUGUGAGAGGCACACAUACCCCAAGGCUCCAUUUCAGGACCUGCAGACCAGCCUGACUACGAGUGCACUGUUCUAUGCUAGACUGCUGCCAUGGAAACGCCCUGCAAAUGGGCGUGGGAGUCAUAUGGUCACCAAAAGGGGAGGCGGAGAGAUUUCCCUAAAGACUGGUGCGCGCGGCAUUCUGCUCUUUCUCCAGCGCAGCACAUUUGGUGGGAUAUGUGGAGGAAAUGAAGAGCAUAGCUGAGCAGUGAGUCAUGCUGUUUACUGGUAAAAGCGUCGACCAAAGGCAGGGAAUCACACCCUCCCGAUCUGACGUUUCCUGGAAAAUCCCGUUGUUUCGCAGGGAGGAAGGAACAGUACAGAGAACCUUGGAAAUGGCUGGCAUCUUUUGUACGGAAAGGAAGAAGAACUCACAGAAUAUCUGAGCAAAGAUGCUCUCCCAACCAGGGACGCUGGGUUUCAAAGAAAUGUCAAGAAUGCAAAAAACAAGGACAUACCCAUCCCACGUUUUACUGCCUGAGACCAAUCUGUGAAUGAUAUAAUAAUAAUAACAGUAGGAAAAUAUGAAUAUGUUUCCAAAAAAAGAGUACCACAUCCCUCACUUCCAAAAAGAUAAAUCAAAGCAAAGCUCUGCAGUUGAAAAUAGUGUUAAUAAUCCAGAACUAUCCAGAUGUCAGUGCUUCUCCUUCAAAACCGCCAGAUGAGACACAAGGACAGACAAGAUGUGACAGCAUACAUUCUGAAUGCGGUGGAACUGUAAAGCGUUGGUUUGUGCAUCUGCCAACCUGCAAUUUGAGUCAUGGUGGAAUCAGAAAGUUGCCAGAAGAAAAGUU
This is a long non-coding RNA of Etheostoma cragini (Arkansas darter), 915 nucleotides long. RefSeq lists it as uncharacterized. The transcript is spliced from 2 exons. NCBI's taxonomy places the organism in Eukaryota, Metazoa, Chordata, Actinopteri, Perciformes, Percidae. The record is from RefSeq and is a predicted model, not a curated record.